AUCAAUAAAUAAUAAGAAGUAGUAGGUCGUCUUUAUUUUAUAGAGAGCUCAUGUUAGGUGGAAAUGAGUAAAUAAGUUCGAUUGAACUCAUCUUAAUUUUGCUUAAGCCAAGCUCAUUUGAGUGUGUAACUUAAGACGCUAGCAGCGUUAUUGCUUUGAGGAAGCUAUUUGCUUUAAAAACUAGGUGGUACCGCGCUAUAGCGCCCUAUAA
RNAcentral lists this non-coding RNA (211 nucleotides) under Facklamia hominis. Its description in RNAcentral is "T-box sequence". It matches the Rfam family "T-box leader". From Rfam's summary of the family: Uncharged tRNA acts as the effector for transcription antitermination of genes in the T-box leader family. T-boxes are found upstream of many aminoacyl-tRNA synthetase genes and some amino acid biosynthetic genes usually in Gram-positive bacteria. The anticodon of a specific tRNA base pairs to a specifier sequence within the T-box motif, and the NCCA acceptor tail of the tRNA base pairs to a conserved bulge in the T-box antiterminator hairpin. The record is from RNAcentral. Lineage: Bacteria; Bacillati; Bacillota; Bacilli; Lactobacillales; Aerococcaceae.